This 433-nucleotide ribosomal RNA is filed under the name uncultured bacterium. RNAcentral describes it as "partial 16S ribosomal RNA". It matches the Rfam family "Bacterial small subunit ribosomal RNA", at positions 29 to 507 of the family's 1533-position model. The record is from RNAcentral.
AACGAACGCUGGCGGCAUGCCUAACACAUGCAAGUCGAACGACACCUUCGGGACUAGUGGCGCUUGCGUGCGUCAAGCGUGGGAACCUGCACUUAGGCUUGGAAUACCUCUUCGUCAGGGGUGCUAAUACAGGAUAAUGUAUUCGGACACCAGAUUUAUCGACUUUGGAGGGGCACGCGUUGGUUUAGCUGGUUGGUAGGGUAAAAGCCUACCACGGCGUAGAUCGAUAGCUGGGCUGAGAGAAUGAGCAGCCACACUGGGACUGAGACGCGGCCGAGACUCUUACGGGAUGCAGCAGUGGGGAAUAUUGGACAAUGGGCGGAAGCCUGAUCCAGCAAUGCCGCUUGAGUGAUGAAGUCCGUAGGGUUGUAAAGCUCGUUUACCCGGGAUGAUAAUGACGGUACCGGGAGAAUAAGCACCGGCUAACUCCGUG